GUAGGCAUAGAUUUAUAACUAACCUAGAUGCCUAGUCUGUACAUCCCUAGUGAAGCCAUUUCGAGUACGACAUUAUGUCGCCCUCGUGUCAUCGUAUCCGAACGGCCCUCGCAGUACUCAAGGUCGAGUUGGUUUGUGUACACCUCCCGGUUAUAAAUUAAAAAAUACAAGAAAGAUGGUUGUUUGUGCGGUGAAUUGGUGUCACAACACAUCAGUGAAUAAAAACAAACCGCCUGAUAUAACAUUUCAUGCAUUUCCGACUGAUCCGCUUCUGUCUGCGAGAUGGACGGAAAAAAUUAGAUUAAAUAGGAACGAUGCAAUAUGGAAACCGACUAAACAUAGUCGCAUAUGCUCUCGCCAUUUUGAUGAGCAAGUAAAGUAAAUUUUAUUUGUGGAACACAGGUGUUACAGUUAAGGUCUGUAAAAACGAAACGCAACUGUCACUGUCGCACUUAUAUGGAAGACUGAUAGAGAGACACAAAGCGUUUCGUUGUUCGAAGCAAUAGCGAUUGCCACCUUGGCUAGGCCUGCAGGUACAAUUACUAGUACUGACGAUAAAUAGUUAUUUGUUUUACAAGUGGAAAAGUUGUUGUUUAACCGCUCGUGCUAAUAUU
Long non-coding RNA from Cydia pomonella (codling moth), 614 nucleotides. RefSeq lists it as uncharacterized. Lineage: Eukaryota; Metazoa; Arthropoda; Insecta; Lepidoptera; Tortricidae. The record is from RefSeq and is a predicted model, not a curated record. The transcript has 2 exons.